RNAcentral lists this non-coding RNA (32 nucleotides) under Rattus norvegicus (Norway rat). Lineage: Eukaryota; Metazoa; Chordata; Mammalia; Rodentia; Muridae. The record is from RNAcentral.
UCCAUUUCAUUAUAAUGUACCCAAAAUAGGCC